Long non-coding RNA from Oreochromis aureus, 1178 nucleotides. Lineage: Eukaryota; Metazoa; Chordata; Actinopteri; Cichliformes; Cichlidae. The record is from Ensembl.
CUUCAGACUUAUGAUCAAGGGAAAGAAAAUAAGUCCUCAAACCUCUACUCUCCUUUAUGUGUUCAUUUAAUGAACGAGUUAACUUCUUUCUCUCUUCUCUCAAACGUCUAAUCUCUCUUCCUCCUCUUCUUCUGUGUUUUCUUCAGUCGUACCGUUUACAGCAGCGAGCAGGGCUUCUUCUUGACCUUGGCGGGCUGAGGGCAGAGGACAGCACGAAUGGCCUCAUCAAACACAGUCUUCAGAUCACACUGGGUCAAGGCUGAGCACUCCAGACAUGGCUGGUAAGGACAUGAGGAGGAAACAGUAGGAGCUGUGUGAGGAUACUAAAGGCAGUGGAUCCCUCAGCAGCUGGAUUACAAAGAGCACAGUCUCAGAUCAGCACAGCCCUGCCCUCCAGCACUAUCAGCAGCAGGAGCAGCAGCAACCCCUCAACAGCAACAUUGUACCCAUCAGGUAAAACAUAAGCUACGUUUGCUUUGCCUUGUUGCCACAUCACAACAGUGAUGUAGUAUGAUGCGAUCCCAUAUUAGAUUCUUGAUGAAUGUGUGUUGUUGUUAUUCAGCCUGGUUCAAUGUGCCCCUUUUUAACUUUGAGCACCCGCCCCUUUAAACGUCUCUGCACGGCCCUGCUUCACUGACCACACCAUCUGUGACGGAGGACUCAUCUCCUCUGUGAAGUGAACACAUAUGGAGGAAUCUGUUGCUCUUCACUCGCUCUACUGUGACACCAGCAGUGCAGAGUGGGAGAUGGACAGGAUUGGUCUUCCAAAAGUCAACAGCUCUUUUGUUUUGUCAACACUGAGACAUAGAUUCUUGUCCUGCCACCAAAGUGCUGAGCUCACAGUCUAACUUAAGUUUCACACUGUUUUUUGUUAGAAAAAAAUCAAAUUGUUACAUGCUUAAAUUUACACAGAAUGUCAGAAAUCUCCACUGUCACAAACAAAAAUUUAAACCCAAAUUUUCAUGAUUUGUUGGGUUAAUAUUCUGAGGUCCAAAAUAUAAUUGGCCAUUUUUGGCUACUUUUGAUUGGGGUUUUUUGUUGUUGUUGUUUUGUUUUUUUGUUCUUUGUUUUUGUUACCUUGCCUUGCUUGGUAUCAUUCUUUUCAGCACAACCUCACAUGUCUGAAUUUGCAGUUAUUUUCUCAUUGACAUACUGUAUUAACACAACUGAUCUGAAAC